Pseudopipra pipra is the source of this 8006-nucleotide RNA transcript. It is a transcript of the gene named phosphofurin acidic cluster sorting protein 2, with no coding region annotated. The record is from RefSeq and is a predicted model, not a curated record. Lineage: Eukaryota; Metazoa; Chordata; Aves; Passeriformes; Pipridae. The transcript is spliced from 26 exons.
GCCGGCGGGCACAGCCAUGGCGGCGGCGGCCGAGCGGGGCCGCCUCAGCUUCCCCGGCGGCGCCGGGGCCCUGGGGCGGCCCGUGCCUAUGAACCUCUUCGCCACGUGGGAGAUCGACGGUUCCAGCCCGAGCUGCGUCCCCAGGUUGUGCAGCUUGACAUUAAAGAAACUGGUAGUCUUAAAGGAAUUGGAUAAGGAGCUUAUUUCUGGGGUCAUUGCUGUCAAAAUGCAGGGCUCCAAGCGCAUCCUGCGGUCUCACGAGAUUGUAUUGCCCCCGAGUGGACAUGUGGAGACAGAGCUUGCACUGACCUUCUCGCUGCAGUACCCUCACUUCUUGAAGAGAGAAGGCAACAAGCUUCAGAUCAUGCUGCAGCGGCGGAAGCGGUACAAGAACCGAACCAUUUUAGGCUACAAGACUCUGGCUGUGGGGUCUAUCAACAUGGCUGAGGUCAUGCAGCACCCAACAGAAGGUGGCCAGGUUCUGAGCCUUUUCAGCAACAUCAAAGAGGCUGCAGUGAAGGUAGCAGAAAUUUGGAUCUUCUCCUUGUCCAGUCAGCCAAUCGACCAUGAAGACAGCACCAUGCAGGCCAGCCAGAAAAUCAAGUCUACAGACAACUAUUCUGAGGAAGAGUACGAGAGCUUCUCUUCUGAGCAGGAGGCCAGUGAUGAUGCCGUACAGGGCCAGGAUUUGGAUGAUGAUGAGUACGAGCUGGGGAAGCCCAAGAAGCAGCGGAGAUCGAUAGUAAGAACGACGUCCAUAACCAGGCAACAAAACUUCAAACAGAAGGUUGUGGCAUUGCUGAAGAGGUUUAAAGUGUCUGAUGAGGUUCUGGAUUCAGAGCAGGACCCAGCAGAGCACGUUCCAGAGGUGGAGGAGGAUUUGGACCUUUUGUAUGACACACUGGAUAUAGAGAACCCCAGUGACAGCGGGCCAGAAAUGGAGGAUGAUGACAGUGUCUUGAGCACUCCAAAGCCAAAGUUAAAACCUUAUUUUGAAGGACUGUCACACUCCAGCUCUCAGACAGAAAUUGGUAGCAUCCAUAGCAUCAGGAGCCAGAGAGAGCCAUCAAGUCCUCAGGUAGAAGUGCCUGAAAAGACAAAGAGUCUUGGAACCAAACAUACAGGAGACAGUAUUUCUGACACUGUCCCUUAUGAGUCUAACCAGCAAGCUGAGGUCCAGGAGGCUGAACUCCCCACACCAGAUGUGUUUGUUGAGAAGCUCCCACCGAGCGGGAAGAUCACUAAGACAGAGUCCCUCAUCAUCCCAUCCACCAGCAGGUCUGAAGGGAAGCAGACGGGACGUCGGGGAAGAAGCACAUCUCUGAAGGAGAGGCAGCCAGUGAGGCCACAGAACGAGAGAGCCAACAGCCUGGACAAUGAGCGCUCUCCAGACACCCGGCACCACUUACAGAUCCCCAGGAAAACAGUGUAUGACCAACUAAAUCACAUCCUGGUUUCCGACGACCAGCUGCCAGAAAACAUUAUUCUUGUCAAUACAUCUGACUGGCAAGGCCAGUACCUGUCAGAUGUCUUGCAAAAGCAUACAUUGCCAGUGGUCUGUACAUGCUCCUCUGCUGAUAUUCAGGCAGCUUUCAGCACUAUUGUCUCCAGGAUACAGAGAUACUGUAACUGCAAUUCACAGCCUCCAAACCCAAUUAAAAUUGCAGUGGCAGGAGCCCAGAAUUACCUCAGUGCUGUAUUGAGGCUCUUUGUAGAGCAGCUGUCUCACAAAACUCCCGACUGGCUCGGCUACAUGAGAUUUUUGAUCAUCCCUCUAGGCUCUCAUCCAGUGGCCAAGUAUCUGGGGUCUGUAGAUUAUAGAUACAACAACUUCUUCCAAGAUCUAGCCUGGAGAGAUCUAUUCAACAAACUUGAAGCACAGACCACUGUUCCAGAGGCACCCGAUGUCGUCUCCCGGAUAACCCAGUACAUAGCAGGGGCAAACUGUGCACACCAGUUGCCCAUUGCUGAAGCCAUGCUGACAUACAAACAGAAAAGGAAAAAGAGCUUUCAUUUUGAUUUUACCUUAAGGCUAACUGCUUUAGCGGUGCCGGGAUGUGCAAGGUAUGGCACAUGGCUCCAAAGGUGGGACGCGGGAAGGCCGUGCGUGCAGAGCGCUUCAGGGACUACCCUGACGAAGAAUCUUCGCAGAAGUUCAUUCCCUUUGUCGGGGUGGUGAAGGUUGGAAUAGUGGAACAAUCUUCUGCAACAUCAGGUGACUCUGAUGAUGCAGCUCCCUCAAGCUCCAGUGUCCUUUCUUCUACCCCACCUUCUGUAUCUCCUGCUGUGAAAGAAGCCUCCCCCACACCUCCUUCCUCACCAUCUGUUACAGGCAGCUUCUCGUCCUCAAGCCAGGGCCUCGGUGCUGAGUUGAUGGGCCUGCAGGUGGAUUACUGGAUUGCAGCUCCACCCGUGGAUAGAAAGAGAGACCCGGAGAAGAAGGACCCCUCCACUACCAAAAACACACUGAAAUGCACUUUCCGGUCCCUCCAGGUCAGCAGGUUACCUGCCAGCGGGGAGAUUGCCACCACUCCAACUAUGUCCAUGACUGUUGUGACAAAAGAAAAGAACAAAAAAGUGAUGUUUUUGCCCAAGAAAACAAAAGACAAGGAGGUUGAGUCAAAGAGCCAGUGUAUUGAAGGAAUCAGCAGGUUGAUUUGCACAGCAAAACAUCAGCAGAACAUGCUGCGUGUCCUGAUUGAUGGGGUGGAGUGGAACGAUGUCAAGUUCUUUCAGCUGGCAGCACAGUGGUCCUCCCAUGUCAAGCACUUUCCCAUCUGCAUAUUUGGACACUCCAAAUCUAACUUCUAGCUGUGCUCGGCGGAGGGACCUUCUGCCUGUCCCAGGGACUGCACACCAGGAGCCAGGAACUGCGUGCCAACUCUGACUCGCGUCGCUCUGCCCUCUCCUGCAGAAUUAAUUACAGAUGUGCUUGGAUUACUUUUGAAUUACUUUUUUCUAUUAACUCUUAAGUUUACUACAAGGGAAGGAAACCCCUUUAAACAAAGGCAAAAAAACCCAGUCUUAAAUAUAGAUGUGCUGACAACGUGAAGUCGUGGGGGAGUUGGCAGGAGCAGGCAACCUGCCCAAGAACACCUACCACUUACAAGCAGAUAGCUGAAUAACUGCACUGCUUAUUAACCUGAGACCUCAUUGGUGUGAGUGGGCUGGGGGAGCCGUGGAUCAGCUCAAACGGAUUUUGCAGAAGAUCAUGUGUGUUACUGUACAUUUGGCCCCCUCCCUCUAUAUUUCUAGGAGAAAAGGGUGGCCAGUCUGUCUUCCUGCUGCCAAAGGACGGGAGAUCAGCGAGUCUGGAGGGAGUUCAACGGUCCAGUUUGGAAAACAAACCACUUUUACAUAGCUAGAGAGGUCUGGAGAGGGGAUCCCCUUUGGAGCAUGGAGCCUGCCAUGGGGACAGGCAGGUGUUUGUGCUGAUGUGAUGCCUGAGGAGGGUUAGGCAGGAAGAGUAAUUAGGGAAACACUAAGAGGAAGGAAACUCCCGUGUCCCAGGUCUGUGACAAUGACCAAACCAAACCAGUCACCAUGUCCCCACAGCUGGCUGUGCUGCAGAGGGACACCAUGUCAGUGGGGUCGCUGCUAUUUACACACUCACACCAAUUAUUUACCUGUCAAUAAAACCUCGUCCAGCCUCUAAAGGGAAAGGAUUUUUUUUAACAGCUGCAGAUUUUUUUUAAUGCUUUCUAAAAAAAAUAAAAUAAAAUAAAAAAUAACAGGAAAAAAUUAAUUUGCCAAAAACAAAAAACCAACAAACCCAGGAAGAUGAGCCGUUGUCUGUGGAGUGAUAUAUCACUGGAGUGGCUGGACUGGGAGCCAGCCAGGCGCUCUGCGUGUCCAGCUGCCUUCCUGUCCAUCUGUCAAACUGCACACAUGAGGUAGCGUGGGAUGCUCUGUCUGCUGCCUGCAUCCUGCCCUGACCACACUGCUCCCUGGAGCCUGCCUGGCUUCAGGGCCCUUGUCCUCGAACCACUCAGGAUCUCUCCUCAUGGGAACUGAAGGAACGUAACAGAAAUGAAGGGUGCUCAGGGCAGGCAGCCUCCUGUGGGCUGCUCUGGAGAUGGACAUUGUCCUUAACUUCUGCUUCCUGAGUAUUCCUCCCCACAAGUGUUUCUCUCUAGAUCACAUCCUUUCCCCAGCAGAAUAUGCUUUUCCUCUGGCAGGGCGUUGCCUGUGGGUUGAGGCUUUGUGAGAGGUUUCAGCUCCAGGGUGCAGAAUGGAAGCUGUCAUUGGAAUGUGAGUGAGAAUGAAGCCAGACAGGUUUUCUGUCCACUUUGGUCAGCAAGAUGUCCUGUGAGAUGGAGGACUGAAAUUUUAGGGUAUCUCUGUUGGCUUGGCUCUGGCUGCACUUGUGUUCAGUUUGUAUGCCUUGUUGCUGCCAGGGAUGCAGCAACAAGGAGACAGCGGGACAAAGGUGCUGCAGAUUGGGCCUUUUGCACUCCAGGCUUCCCAAAGCUUGCCUGGGAGCAGGUGGCAGCUGGGAUUUGGAGAGGAGAGUGUCCUUGCUAUGGGGAAGAACAGACAUCUCUGGCAUUUCAGGGUAAGAGACUAAAAUUUCUGAUGGGUGCUUUUAGGUCCCACCCCUGCGGACAAGCCAGGCACUGGGAACAUUUCCAGAAGGCACUUUCUGAGGGCAGUGAUGCUUUUGAACCUUUUUUUUUUUUUUCAAUCUGAUUCCUUACCUUUGGGUUUUUAAAGGCUUGGGGCACCCGCUUUUGUGCUGCGUAGCUCUGCACAGGGCCCACACAGGUUCUUUUGGGCAGGGCAGUGGUGGUGUGCUCUGCUGGGCCUUCUGCUGACAGGGAGUGAGGAGUUAAGAAGUGAGAGCUGGAUCUAGUGCCUGGCAGAGCUCACAAAACCCUUUCCCAGCACAAGUGCAACCUACUUGGCCAGGGGCUGGGUAUUCCCUUCAAACCAUGCAGGGGAGGAGGAUACGGUCCCCUGCCCAGUGACAGGCUGCUGGGUAGGACAGAUUGUCUAGCUGCAAUACUCUGUGCUGCAGGCAGGUCUGCCUGCUGGCUCUUGGCUGUGGCAGAAGUUUGGCUGUAGUUGGGCUGCUGUCAGGUCCCUCAGUUCACGUGUUUUUGGUUGACCUGAGCUGGUGCUCUGGGACUGUAUAGCAUUGCCUAGCAGUGGCAGCGUGGAAGAUGGCAUAUAAGCACAUCACUUCUUUAUCUUUAUUGAGGCUGCUGCAUCAGAAAAAGCUCUGUAAAGGAAAUUAGUCAGUUUGUGAUUUCUUCCUCGAGUCUCAUGCUGGUGUGACAAGAGCAGUCGGGCUGGGUUCCAGCGUCAGGAGCCGCACGCAGCCUGGGCAGCUCUCAGUGCUGGAGUGUGUUACUGCUGCAGAGCUGGGGUGGACUGACUGCAAUAACUUUGUUUACUGGGGGGUGAGGGGAGAACCAUCACUGUGCUCCUCUUUGUAUUUCAAUCUACUGUAAAGAAAAAAACUGGUAGCUAGGACAGGAUUUCCAGGGUCCUGCCUAUCAAAUGUGUGUUGCCCUGCUGUACUCUGUGUGUGUGUGUAUGUGUGAGAGAAACACUUCUGCUCGUUGGAUUUCAUGUUGGUUUGUGUUUUGUUCUAACUAUAUACAAGCAAAUUCAGUGGGAAACUUUCCGUACACCUGAGGGCUUGUGUCUCUGCAGGGUUUCUCCCCUGUGGAAUGCUGUUGUUGCUCUGAAGUGCUCUUCCAUGCAAGAAAACAUCCUGAAGUCUCAACCUUGUCAUCCUGGAGGGAGUCCAGCAGUAGCAGGCUGGGCUUGCCCAAGGGCAGCUGUGUGCCCAGGGUGUGAAUGUGGUGUUUCCUGGCCCUGGAGGGCAAGGGCUGGCCGUGCAGAUUUGGUGGCGCAGCUCAGAUCAGGCUGUUGUGCCUCUCUUGUUUCUCUUGUAUCACGUGGAGCCACUUUGUGUGGCUGUUUCUGUCCCUGACUGGAAGAGAAACAGAUUUCUAUCUCUAAGGAAAAUGAGUGUCACAGCAUGUAUGUGGCUCAGACCUUUUUGGAAAGGGGCUUUGCACCUGGUGAAUAAGAGGUGAAUGAGUGACUGACCUCAGGUCUCCCACCCUCCCACCUUCCCCCACAUUUUCUGGGGGGACCCUGCCAGGAACAAGCCCCACUAGCCAGAGGGAUCCCUGCUGCAGGACCAGGGAAAGCUGCUGGGGCAGCAGUGGGCCUGUGCCUGUAGAGCUGUACCAGCCUGUGGGGUUGGGUGAUUGCAAAUCGGUGAGUGCAGAAGGAUGGCUCAGAGCCCAGACAGCACCACUCUGCCUUCGGCUCUCUAGAGUUUGGGCGGGGAAGGUACAUCUCAAAUGAAGAAAGGCAGUGGGGUUGUCUCCCAGGUCAGGCUUGCUUUUUAGCUGUGCAGUCUGACAGUGAAGGCAGGGGCUGGGGUGGGCAGCAUCUGAGCAGAUCUCCAGAAGGGAGGUGCUCUUGAAGGCAAUGUCUGUCCCCUGGUGUCCCUGUUCCUUUAUGUCCCAGAGCUUGCCCCUGCUCCCUGUGGAGCCUGUCUCUCCAGCUCCUCUGGCUGUGACUUCUCAAAGCAGCCGGUUUCUUUUCCAGCUGCAGUUGGAGAAGGCCCCCGCCUCGCUCGGAGGUGAGCUCUCGGGAGCGGGCUCGCUGCCGCGCUGAGCUGCGUGACGCUGACCUACUUUAACAGCACUGGCAAGGAGAUGAAAGAUGGAAGGGUUUUGUGGCAUUGUGUUGCACCUUGAGUGCUUCCUGGUUUUCUGGCUUAAGUUUCCUGGAGACAAAGGCUGGGCUUCAGCCCUGCCAGCGAUCAAGCAGGGCUGGCUCUCCUGCGGUGCUGGCGAUGUCAUGGACAUCUUGGGCGGCUGUUUUAGCUCAGUGCUGCAGUUCCCGUCCAGUUCAAUUGUUACCAUUUACAUUGCAGUGGUAACUGCAGAGUCCUCCUUAAUUACACAUGAGUUUGGGGAGAGCCAUGGUCUCUUUGGCUGUGUUUUGCUGCUUUAAUUAGAACAGAAGAUAAAGCUUGUGGCUUUAUCCUGCAGAGAGGGCAUGGGUAGGUGGCUGGGAGGUUUCUGGGGCUGAGGAGAUGUGCCUGUUUGCUUUCCAUCAUCGAACUCAGCCAAGAACUACAAUGCCCUGUGCUUAACCUGCGAUUGCAGCACAGGCCCUGUUGUGUUUCUCACCAGCAGCGUGUGCUGGAGACAGCACAGGAGAGCCAGGGCAGAGGGCAUUGCACCUGGCAUUUCCAAGUUUAAGAAGAAAAUCCUGUCAAAAGGCAGCAGAGGCAAUGGCCUUCUCCUGCUUCUUGGUGUGCUGAGGGAUCGGAAAGGCUGGGGUUAGGACAGUCCUGCUAUGCGGUAGUAGUGGACUGGGGGUCCUGGAGCUUUCCUGAAGCAAGGUAGGAUGCAAUGCCUCUGUCCCCUUCGGGGGGGGGCUCGAUCUCAGUGGAUGGCUGCGUGGUAGUGUUUAGUGUGGCACUUCCUGUGGGCUUACCUGGCAGGAGAAGGCCAGAAAUGAGCAGCAGCAUCACCUGGAGCCUCUUCAGCAGUGUUGUCAUGGGAGAUGUUCCUGGCAGGGCCGGCUCCUGCAGGAUCACUUGGGUGCUUUGGUACAGCCUGGGGUAAAAGGGGAUGUGCCACUUGCAAAGCAGCAGGUCACUGGCUUCCUUAAGGAAGAGCACCAGUUUGGGGCCACAUCCAGGAAACUGCUGCUUUGCUCCUUGGCCAGAGAGCUUCCAGGGCGUGUUGCCUGCCUGGUUGCAUAUAUGUGGUGGCUGUGGGGAAGCGCCCUGUGAGCACAGUUCCUGGGCUGCGUGCCGCCAGGCUUGUCCAGACCAGGACAUCAUCACUUUGUAGAUUCUCGAGUUGUCCAUCUGUUUCAUUGUUGUAUUGUUUGGGUUCUAGGGUUGUUUUUUAUGAAGACAGAUAAAAUGUAAAUAGCCUUUUUUGGAACAAACUGCAAUGUGCUCGACCUCGUCAACUAUUUUAUGGUACUAAUGCAACACUAAUAAAACUGGACAUGAAAGCACA